CUGCUACCAGGAAAAAAAAGCUGUUGAAUUUGAUGUUGUCUUCAUCAUUGGCUGCGUUUUUUAAAAAAGAGCUAGUGAGCAGCACCGAGCGAGUCCUUUGGAACUCCAAGGAAGAAGUGACAAAUACUUCCUUGAAGAAAAGCCCAACUAUACAACAGAGCUGGCACCUCCUGAAAGGAUAUAAGCCUGUGGCCGAACCAUCCUGAACACUGCUGAUCCAGUUUAAAAGGAUGCAGGAUACAAGAGGAAGCAAAAGUAAGAGGAGGUUCAGAUCUGGAGUUGAUGUUUCCAGAAGAGUGGGAGGGAAAAAGCUCAGGCCUGGGUCAUUCCUUCUCUGAAGAGAAGACCACACUCCUCCCUGGACCAGGUAUUUCCUCACCACAAUGUAGUUUAUCUAUCUUGCUUCUGGAAACAGGACCAGAUUGACAAGCCA
Mastomys coucha (southern multimammate mouse) is the source of this 433-nucleotide long non-coding RNA. RefSeq lists it as uncharacterized. The record is from RefSeq and is a predicted model, not a curated record. Lineage: Eukaryota; Metazoa; Chordata; Mammalia; Rodentia; Muridae. The transcript has 3 exons.